AGAGUUUGAUCAUGGCUCAGAAUGAACGUUGGCGGCGUGGAUUAGGCAUGCAAGUCGGACGGGCCGCAAGGCCAGUGGCGCAAGGGUGAGUAAGGCGAAGGUAACCAACCCCGCGGAUGGGCAUAGCCGGGGGAAACCCCGGGUAAUUCCCAGCGACAUGACGACCCGGCAUCGGGAUGUCAUCAAAGAUUCAUCGCCGCGGGACGGGCCUUCGUGGUAUUAGCUAGUUGGCGGGGUGACGGCCCACCAAGGCCGCGAUGCCUACCGGGCGUGCGAGCGUGGCCCGGCACACUGGGACUGAGACACUGCCCAGACUCCUACGGGAGGCUGCAGUCGAGAAUCUUCGGCAAUGGGCGCAAGCCUGACCGAGCGACGCCGCGUGGAGGACGAAGGCCCUCGGGUUGUAAACUCCUGUCGAGGGGGAGGAAGCUUCGGUUGACCGAACCCUGGAGGAAGCACGGGCUAAGUUCGUGCCAGCCGCCGCGGUAAUAC
This 492-nucleotide ribosomal RNA is filed under the name uncultured bacterium. Its description in RNAcentral is "bacterial SSU rRNA". It matches the Rfam family "Bacterial small subunit ribosomal RNA", at positions 8 to 526 of the family's 1533-position model. The record is from RNAcentral.